This 164-nucleotide ribosomal RNA is filed under the name Bromus segetum. RNAcentral's name for it is "5.8S ribosomal RNA". It matches the Rfam family "5.8S ribosomal RNA". From Rfam's summary of the family: 5.8S ribosomal RNA (5.8S rRNA) is a component of the large subunit of the eukaryotic ribosome. It is transcribed by RNA polymerase I as part of the 45S precursor that also contains 18S and 28S rRNA. Lineage: Eukaryota; Viridiplantae; Streptophyta; Magnoliopsida; Poales; Poaceae. The record is from RNAcentral.
CACACGACUCUCGGCAACGGAUAUCUCGGCUCUCGCAUCGAUGAAGAACGUAGCGAAAUGCGAUACCUGGUGUGAAUUGCAGAAUCCCGNGAACCAUCGAGUCUUUGAACGCAAGUUGCGCCCGAGGCCACUCGGCCGAGGGCACGCCUGCCUGGGCGUCACGC